UUUCAAAUGGUUAAACAUUAUAACCAUACAUUAUAAUAUUCUAAACCCGUCCCACCAUCUAAUCCAGUUCAGUAAAAUUA
RNAcentral lists this small RNA (80 nucleotides) under Arabidopsis thaliana (thale cress). Its description in RNAcentral is "ATSL084490". The record is from RNAcentral. Lineage: Eukaryota; Viridiplantae; Streptophyta; Magnoliopsida; Brassicales; Brassicaceae.